CACCUCCGUCCAUUAUGCUACCCGAUCUUUCGACAAGUGGCAAUCUUUGGGGGGAUCUCUGGUAGCGCCCAAAUAAAACUCAAGAAAUUUCAAUAUCAGUCGUGGUUGUU
This 110-nucleotide non-coding RNA is filed under the name Platyophrya macrostoma. Lineage: Eukaryota; Ciliophora; Colpodea; Cyrtolophosidida; Platyophryidae. The record is from RNAcentral.